RNAcentral lists this ribosomal RNA (427 nucleotides) under uncultured bacterium. RNAcentral's name for it is "partial 16S ribosomal RNA". It matches the Rfam family "Bacterial small subunit ribosomal RNA", at positions 355 to 774 of the family's 1533-position model. The record is from RNAcentral.
UGGGGAAUAUUGCACAAUGGGCGCAAGCCUGAUGCAGCCAUGCCGCGUGUAUGAAGAAGGCCUUCGGGUUGUAAAGUACUUUCAGCGAGGAGGAAGGCGUUGUGGUUAAUAACCGCAACGAUUGACGUUACUCGCAGAAGAAGCACCGGCUAACUCCGUGCCAGCAGCCGCGGUAAUACGGAGGGUGCAAGCGUUAAUCGGAAUUACUGGGCGUAAAGCGCACGCAGGCGGUCUGUCAAGUCGGAUGUGAAAUCCCCGGGCUCAACCUGGGAACUGGAUCCGAAACUGGCAGGCUAGAGUCUUGUAGAGGGGAGUAGAAUUCCAGGUGUAGCGGUGAAAUGCGUAGAGAUCUGGAGGUAUACCGGUGGCGAAGGCGGCCGCCUGGACAAAGACUGACGCUCAGGUGCGAAAGCGUGGGGAGCAAACA